AGUGAACGCUGGCGGUAGGCCUAACACAUGCAAGUCGAACGGCAGCACAGUAAGAGCUUGCUCUUAUGGGUGGCGAGUGGCGGACGGGUGAGGAAUACAUCGGAAUCUACUUUUUCGUGGGGGAUAACGUAGGGAAACUUACGCUAAUACCGCAUACGACCUACGGGUGAAAGCAGGGGAUCUUCGGACCUUGCGCGAUUGAAUGAGCCGAUGUCGGAUUAGCUAGUUGGCGGGGUAAAGGCCCACCAAGGCGACGAUCCGUAGCUGGUCUGAGAGGAUGAUCAGCCACACUGGAACUGAGACACGGUCCAGACUCCUACGGGAGGCAGCAGUGGGGAAUAUUGGACAAUGGGCGCAAGCCUGAUCCAGCCAUACCGCAUGGGUGAAGAAGGCCUUCGGGUUGUAAAGCCCUUUUGUUGGGAAAGAACAGCAGCAGGUUAAUACCCCGCUGUUCUGACGGUACCCAAAGAAUAAGCACCGGCUAACUUCGUG
Molecule: ribosomal RNA, 492 nt
Filed under: uncultured bacterium
Lineage: Bacteria
Description: partial 16S ribosomal RNA
Rfam family: Bacterial small subunit ribosomal RNA
Source: RNAcentral